GGGAGAGAACAGGAGAGGAGAAUCAGAGCUUUCUCUGGCUGCUUUUGGCCGGCUGGAGGGGUGGAGGAACCUUCAGCCGUGGUGCUAGGUGCAGGAUGAGCCAAACAGACUUGAUUCCUGAAGCCUUGAAGCAGAAGCAAGUCUAGGAGGGGAAGUAGACACAAAUCAAAUAAUUGUGCACAUCCAUGUGUGACGAUAAACUAUGCUGAGAGCCAUGCAAGAAAGGAGCACAGGGCUUUGAUAGCCCGGGACAGAGGAACUGGACCCAGUCUGAGAGAGACAAAGUAACUGAGGCCCUGCGAGGAGAGAAGGCCUGUGAAGGACAAUGAUACUCACUGCUGUGGUGGAAGCCAGGCAGGCCCCUUCUGACCCCUGCUGUGCUCCAGCCGGCACACCCGACUUCCCUCUGAGGAAUCUGGGCGUCCCUCAGUGGACGCAGUAAAAAGCUUCUCCAAGUCGACGUAGAACCUGGACCAGCACAGGCAAAGGCACCGCCAACCAUUCUGAAAGUUCUGACAUAACUCCCAGGCCUCAGGCUGCCAAGGCAAGUUUUCUGUCUUCAGAUGAAUAAGCUGCUGUCUCCACUGUUGUGGAGGAUGAUACUCACACUUAAGGGGCCAUAUUUCUACCCUGUUGAUUAGAGGACAGGGAAGGGGAGCUGAGAGAUAAACACAACUAAGCAAUGCAACACCCUCUUUCCCUCCCCUUUCCCUCCAGUAACCCUGCUGGUUGUGGCUGCGGCUAUAAGAGUAUUGGCUGUGACUUUCACUGAUGCCCUUAGGGACACCUGCUGAUAUGAGAGUCUGAAGCUCUGUGGUCAGACAGGCUUGGGUUCCAAACCAGGUCCUGACACACAAGAGCCUCAGCUGCCCCAUCUAUAAAGUGGGAAUAAUAGCCCUGCCAUCUGCUUCUCAGAGUUGUUGGGAGAAUCAACCAGAGUUGCAAUAAACACAAAGCAAGUGGUACUGUGUCUGGCAAAGUGGGAAAAUUUAAUGAAUUAAGGCAGGUAGAAGACCUAGCACUGGUCCUGGCACAUCUGGGGAGUUCAUUAAUUGUGAGUUCCUCCUUCCUCUCCUUUCCCAGGCUGGACCCUGAACCUCGGUAAUCAGGAAAAGAACCUGGGGGCCUUCUGUCUCCCCCACACCCCUUUUUAACAUUUUGAAACAGAAUAUAACAUAAAAUUAACCAUUUUAAAGCAUAAGUUGAGUGGCAUUUAAUGCCUUCACAAUAUUGUGCAACCACCAUCUAUAUCAAGUUCCAAACAUUUUUUGUCGCCUCAAAAGGAAACCCUUUGCUCCUUAGCAGUCACUCCUAUUCCUCCACACCACCCCCAAGACCCUGGCAAUAACCGGUCUGCUUUUUGUUUCUGUGGAUUUACCUAUUCUGGAUAUUUCAUAUAAAUAGAAUCUUACCAUAUGUGACCAUUUGUGUCUGGCUUCUUCACUUGGCAUAAUGUUUUCAAGGUUCACCCCCCUUGUAGCACGUAUCUGUAUUUCAUUCCUUCUGAUGACCGAAUAAUAUUCCAUUGUAUGGAUAUGCCACAUUCUGUUUGUCUGUUCAAACACUGAUGGACAUUUUGGUUGUUCCCAUCUCUCAUUAUUGCAAAUAGUGCUGCUAUAAACAUUUAUGUAC
RNAcentral lists this long non-coding RNA (1632 nucleotides) under Homo sapiens (human). RNAcentral's name for it is "HSALNT0005199". Lineage: Eukaryota; Metazoa; Chordata; Mammalia; Primates; Hominidae. The record is from RNAcentral.